RNAcentral lists this long non-coding RNA (759 nucleotides) under Homo sapiens (human). Its description in RNAcentral is "HSALNT0213764". The record is from RNAcentral. Lineage: Eukaryota; Metazoa; Chordata; Mammalia; Primates; Hominidae.
UUAUAAAGAGUUUCUUUGGUUUUCUUGUUUGAUUUGCUGGAUGGUCUGUUUGGAAACCAUAUCCAAGAAUUGGAGCAUUAAUUUGAAGAAAGAGGUUCAGAAGUUUCUUUCUGAAUUGUCCUUGAAGGUGUGAGGACUGGCAGAUGGCAGGAAGGACAGCAAGGCAAUAAGAAGGGAGCAGGGCAGGGCUGGGGGAAGCUGACAUUGCACAUUGUUCUGUAGAAGUGCGAACAGCUCAGACAGACAUGGAGCAAUCUCCCUGCUGGUCUGGUCACGGAGGAGUCUAAACACGAAGCCCACAUGCUAAGCAUAGGGGGAAGAUGGCCUGCCUGAGGACAGAGGCACCUCCCACAGGGGGUUUCUGAGAAUGGGCCAGGCUUGGAAUCCUUGAGACAGCCGAAUCUAGGAGUUGCAAGUUGUUUUCUGCAUCCGAUAUUUUGUUAUCUCUGGCCCUUCAAUAAAAUCAUGUUAAAAUUGAUAUGGUUUGUCUGUGACCCCACCCAAAUCUCAUCUUGAAUUCCCAUGUGUUGUAGGAGGGACCAAGUGGGAGGUAAUUGAAUCAUGGGGGAAGUCUUUCUGGAGCUGUUCUUGUGAUAGUGAAUUAGUCUCACAAGAUCUGACGGUUUUAAAAAUGGGAGCUUUUCUGCACAAGCUCUCUUUGCCUGCUGCCAUUCACAUAAGAUGUGACUUGCUCCUCCUUGCCUUUGGCCAUGAUUGUGAGGUUUCCCCAGCCAUAUGGAACUGUGAGUUCUCCAUUAA